This 691-nucleotide long non-coding RNA is filed under the name Volvox carteri. RNAcentral describes it as "long non-coding RNA (VCAR_LNC001880)". Lineage: Eukaryota; Viridiplantae; Chlorophyta; Chlorophyceae; Chlamydomonadales; Volvocaceae. The record is from RNAcentral.
GAGUGUACUCUUUGAGUUUGGCAACUCACCACCAGCAUCCAACCAAAUUUAGCGGAUCAACGGCGCGUCAACUUAGUUCCUGGUCAGCUCGCGAGUUGAUUUUAUCACGUCCUACACCAUCCAUCGGAUUAAUCAGGCUCACCCUGCUUCAAUUUCCCAAUCAAUCUCUCGAUCUCGCAAUCGCAUGGCGCAAACACAGCGCAACCGCGAGGGGCUACGCUUCAUGGGCGCAAGGACUAAUCUAAGAUUAAAGGUGCUCGGUCGCAGCACGGUCGUGCACCACUGCCGUACAGUACCACAAUUAACAACGCGCUCCUCGUCCUUCUAGAUUUGUACGGCAAAUAGGAACGUUUACGAACCGAAUCCACGGGAAGGCCGUGCUGUUGCGGCAAAUCUUGGCAGCCCAAUCCGAUAUUUGGGUGAAUGAGUCGAUUGCUGUAGAUAUUGCCGGCAGGCGCAACGAUGCCUGGAGAGACUUUGUGAAUUUAUGGUCAGGCGAAAUAAGACCACCAGCCGUCACUCCAACCUCACCACCACGGACGAUGAAUUAUCCAACAUGAACGGGCGACAGCGCUUGAUACAUGUGCACCGUCUUUUCAGCCAAAAAACACAUGCUUACAUGCACGUACCGUACCAGUUGUGAGCGUGAAAACAACACAUGCAGAAGCCACCUUCGCCCAAAUUACGUGCC